Pelmatolapia mariae (spotted tilapia) is the source of this 491-nucleotide long non-coding RNA. RefSeq lists it as uncharacterized. The record is from RefSeq and is a predicted model, not a curated record. Lineage: Eukaryota; Metazoa; Chordata; Actinopteri; Cichliformes; Cichlidae. The transcript has 3 exons.
UUCAGCCUCGGGAUUUAUACUCGGCUCGACACGGAUAUGUGAAGAAUGAAGGGACCCUGCAGCGAAACGGAGAGCCCAACCUCUGACUGAGUGCCCGUUUACUCAGUCUGACCACCUGUUGAAGGGCUGUUUGAUGACGAUUUGGACUCCUCUGGGAGAUGAGGACACACCCACAUCUGUUCCAUACUGCAGCCAUGGAUGGUGUUACGGCUCUGAGUCAGCUUUGGGCCAUCAGACGCACACACUGGAAAACCAGCACCUGGACUUCAUGCAGGAGAGACGGCUUCAGUGAUAAUUCAUCAGCAGCUGUGAAGAGAUGUAUUUGAAUAUCUUCUGGUUCCACUUUUCUUAACCUGGAAUCUGAGGAUGGCUGAUUCCUGACAAGGACACACACCUCAGCGCUUAUCAUGGGUGUUACAUCCUCUGUGCCGCAAUUCCAGAGAAAACGAGAGAGCAACGACCACUCAUUAAGACCAGACAGAAAUCUGUCC